CCCUUGUCCUUAGUUACCAGCACGUUAUGGUGGGCACUCUAAGGAGACUGCCGGUGACAAACCGGAGGAAGGUGGGGAUGACGUCAAGUCAUCAUGGCCCUUACGGCCUGGGCUACACACGUGCUACAAUGGUCGGUACAGAGGGUUGCCAAGCCGCGAGGUGGAGCUAAUCCCAGAAAACCGAUCGUAGUCCGGAUCGCAGUCUGCAACUCGACUGCGUGAAGUCGGAAUCGCUAGUAAUCGCGAAUCAGAAUGUCGCGGUGAAUACGUU
Molecule: ribosomal RNA, 271 nt
Filed under: Pseudomonas sp. January_TSA1A3
Lineage: Bacteria; Pseudomonadati; Pseudomonadota; Gammaproteobacteria; Pseudomonadales; Pseudomonadaceae
Description: partial 16S ribosomal RNA
Rfam family: Bacterial small subunit ribosomal RNA
Source: RNAcentral